RNAcentral lists this ribosomal RNA (231 nucleotides) under uncultured bacterium. RNAcentral's name for it is "partial 16S ribosomal RNA". It matches the Rfam family "Bacterial small subunit ribosomal RNA", at positions 572 to 793 of the family's 1533-position model. The record is from RNAcentral.
CAGGCGGCCUGUUAAGUACAGAUGUCGAAAGACCCGGGGCGUUAACCUCGGAAUUAGCAUUUGUAAACUGGCAGGCUAGAGGUCUUGUAGACGGGGGUAGGAAUUUCAGGUGUAGCGGUGAAAUGCGUAGAGAUCUGAAGGAAUACCAGUGGCGAAGGCGGCCCCCUGGACAAGACUGACGCUCAGAUGACGAAAGCGUGGGGAGCAAACAGGAUUAGAUACCCCUGGUAG